CCUAUCACUCUCUCCCUCACCCUUCCUUGCCCCCCAUCGCCCUCUCUCUCUCUCUCUCUCUCUCUCUCUCUCUCUCUCUCUCUCCCUCCCUCCCUCCCUCUCUCUCAACCUCUCUGCCACUCUCCGAAGGAUUUCUUCCCCAAAUCUGACGACGCAUGCAUCUUUCCGAUCAGCAUAAUCUUUCCAGCGAGCAUCCCCUAAGUCAACCUCUCGACGUUGUUGGCAAUGGAAAAUACAUUGUGGACAUGCACACCCCCUGUUUGAUGGUUGGUGUAUGAGAGAGAAAUGUGGGGACCAAGAAGGAAAGAGGGAAAUCACCCAUCCAAGCGGGUCUAUCUAAGCAGUCCAUGCUGAAGCAACUGAUUGUAUCUUUGGUGAAUGCACUGAACUCUAAUCCAACCUCAAUGAUUGAAAAAAAGAUUGUUGGAUUGGUAAGCAUUUUAUGACCUGAGGGAAUAGAGAAUCCUGAUAUCUAUUUCUCUGAAAGGGCAUUUUUCUCAUCAUUUAUGCUUCUUUAGAAUUGAUUCUUAGUUACCAUUGUAUGUAUUUCAUUUUUAAUCGCACAGUCAAUGUCCACCAAUUCAAUGGUCAGAUAAUCAAAAUAAUCUUCUUCUU
Molecule: long non-coding RNA, 615 nt
Organism: Magnolia sinica
Lineage: Eukaryota; Viridiplantae; Streptophyta; Magnoliopsida; Magnoliales; Magnoliaceae
Exons: 2
Source: RefSeq, a predicted model, not a curated record